Molecule: ribosomal RNA, 414 nt
Filed under: uncultured microorganism
Description: bacterial SSU rRNA
Rfam family: Archaeal small subunit ribosomal RNA
Source: RNAcentral
CAGCCGCCGCGGUAAUACCGGCGGCCCGAGUGGCGGUCACUAUUAUUGGGCUUAAAGCGUCCGUAGCCGGGUUGGGAAAUCCUCCGGGAAAUCUGGCCGCUUAACGGUCAGAAUGCCGGAGGAUACUCCCAGCCUAGGGAGCGGGAGAGGCCGAGGGUAUUCCCGGAGCAGGGGUGAAAUCCUAUAAUCCCGGGAGGACCACCUGUGGCGGAGGCGCUCGGCUGGGACGCGUCCGACGGUGAGGGACGAAGGCCAGGGGAGCAAACCGGAUUAGAUACCCGGGUAGUCCUGGCUGUAAACGAUGCGGACUUUGUGUCGGACAAGCUAUGAGCUUGUCCGGUGCCGGAGGGAAACCGUUAAGUCCGCCGCCUGGGGAGUACGGCCGCAAGGCUGAAACUUAAAGGAAUUGGCGGG